RNAcentral lists this ribosomal RNA (2151 nucleotides) under Triticum aestivum (bread wheat). RNAcentral's name for it is "partial small subunit ribosomal RNA". The record is from RNAcentral. Lineage: Eukaryota; Viridiplantae; Streptophyta; Magnoliopsida; Poales; Poaceae.
AUGACACUGCGACAAACCCUCCUCCUCCUACUUGUCUUCCAUGCCUCGCUCGCCACGACCGCCGAGUUUGGCGAGCCGUUUCCGCCCCCAGCCCCGGCGUCGCCUGAGCCAAAAAACUGUCCUGCCAAGUGCGGGGAAAUAGACAUCCCCUACCCAUUCGGCGUCGGCGCUGGAUGCUCCCUGUCGGGCCGCUUCGUCCUCACCUGCAACGAGAUGACGAGUCCUCCAACCCUGCUCACCGGCACAGUCAAGGUCGCCAGCAUCACGCUGGAGACGGCGCAGAUGGUGGUCAACACCUACCUGACCUAUAGCUGCGAUGUGCCGACCAGCAACACUACGAUCAACCACACGAGCACCGAUAUGGCCCUUAACGUCGUCACCCCGUUCCUGCUCUCGCCAUCCGAGAACGUGUUCACGGCCGUCGGGUGCAGCUCGACGGCGAGGAUCAAGGGCCGCGGCGCGAGCCCCUACCUCACUGGCUGCAUCACGACCUGUGCCAGGGUGAACGACACCGGUGACGACGGCACACCCUGCAGCGGGCACGGCUGCUGCCAGGCCUCGCUGACUCCUAACCUCACCCAAGUCAGCGUGGAGUGGGAGAACAGGGGAGGCAGAAGUCCUGUGGCUGAAAACCUGUGCCAGUAUGCUUUCGUCGCUACCAAAGGCUGGUACAGUUUCAGAAAAAAUGACCUGAUUGGGAAUAUGACAUUCGCCAAUAGACUUGGAAGCGGCCCUGUUGUUCCAGUUGUUCUUGACUGGGCAGUUAGGGAUGGAACAUGCCCCCCGACUCUGGAGGGUAACGGCAAGGAAAUUGUUCCUAACGGUGCCGCCUGUGUUAGCAGUGAAAGCUAUUGUGUAAAUGCAAGUCAUGGAGCACCGGGCUAUUUCUGCAAUUGCUCCAAGGGAUACACCGGUAAUCCAUACAAAAAAAAUGGGUGCACAAAUAUUGAUGAGUGCGCAUUACGACGAUCACCAAAUUCCACAAUGUACAAGAAUAUCUAUCCUUGCCGUGGAGGGACAUGCCACGAUACCGAAGGUGAUUAUGAGUGUAAGUGUAAUUUCGGACGAAGAGGAGACGGCAAGAGUGACAAAGGUUGUGAACCCGUAUUGUCCAGACCUGCAGUUGCAGUGAUAGGAACAAUUGGUGCAAUCGCAUUACUGUUCGUGCUAGUAAUAUUUUUGCACAUGGAGCGAGAGAACAGGAAGCUGAGGGACCGAUUCAACAGGAACGGCGGGUCGUUCCUCAAGAGCGCCGGGAUCGAGAUCUUUACCAAGGACAAGCUGGGUCGCAUCACAAACAAGUACAGCUGCAUCAUUGGCAAAGGUGCCUUCGGUAAGGUCUACAAGGGGACCACCGACACCGGCGUUGUUGUUGCUGUGAAGCGCUCCAUCAUCGUCAACGAGGACCGGCAGAAGGAUUUCGCGAAUGAGAUCACGGUCCAAUCCAAGAUCAGCCACCCAAACCUGGUCCGGCUCGUGGGUUGCUGCCUGGAGACGGAGGUGCCCAUGUUGGUCUAUGAGUUCGUCCCCAGAGGGAGCCUUCAGGACGUGCUUCACGGAAACAACCACCCUCUCCCACUGGAAACACGCCUCGACAUUGCUAUCAGCUCCUCUGAGGGGCUCGAUUACAUGCACUCGCAGAGCCAGAUGGUCCUCCACGGUGAUGUCAAAUCUGGCAACAUCCUCAUCGACGACAGCUUCACGCCCAAGGUGUCGGACUUUGGGACGUCCAGGCUCAUGUGCAUCGACAAGGACCACACCAACUGGGUGGUCGGGAACAGCAGCUACAUUGACCCCGUGUACAUGAAGACCGGGCUGCUCACCGCUAAGAGCGACGUGUACAGCUUUGGUAUCGUGCUACUGGAGCUCGUUACCCGAAAGAAGGCUAGGUACGGGGAGAAUCGUAGCCUUCCGAUGGACUACGUCAAGGCUUCCAAGGAUGGCACGGCAAGGCAGCUGUUUGAUGAGGAGGUUUCAUCCAAUGUUGAGGAGAACAUGGAGUGCCUCGAGGACGUUGGCAAGAUUGCAGUGCAAUGUCUCGAGGAAGACGUGAAUAACAGGCCUACCAUGGGAGAAGUCAGGAAGGAACUUGAAAAGUGUAAGACACAAUGGUUGCGAAGCCAGGGGAGGGCAAAUGAGGUAAUCCCCUAG